AUUGAACGCUGGCGGCAGGCCUAACACAUGCAAGUCGAGCGAGCGGCGGACGGGUGAGUAAUGUUUGGGAAACUGCCUGAUGGAGGGGGAUAACUACUGGAAACGGUAGCUAAUACCGCAUACCAUCAGAUGUGCCCAGACGGGAUUAGCUAGUAGGUGGGGUAACGGCUCACCUAGGCGACGAUCCCUAGCUGGUCUGAGAGGAUGACCAGACACACUGGAACUGAGACACGGUCCAGACGCCUACGGGAGGCAGCAGUGGGGAAUAUUGCGCAAUGGGCGCAAGCCUGAUGCAGCAAUGCCGCGUGUGUGAAGAAGGCCUUCGGAUUGUAAAGCACUUUCGGCGGGGAGGCGUUACCCGCCGAAAAAGCACCGGCUAACUCCGUGCCAGCAGCCGCGGUAAUUC
This 406-nucleotide ribosomal RNA is filed under the name uncultured bacterium. RNAcentral's name for it is "partial 16S ribosomal RNA". It matches the Rfam family "Bacterial small subunit ribosomal RNA", at positions 30 to 526 of the family's 1533-position model. The record is from RNAcentral.